RNAcentral lists this long non-coding RNA (1174 nucleotides) under Ovis aries (sheep). RNAcentral describes it as "lncRNA (ENSOARG00000026515.1)". Lineage: Eukaryota; Metazoa; Chordata; Mammalia; Artiodactyla; Bovidae. The record is from RNAcentral.
AGGUGAAUUUACAGGUGUAUGAUGUGCUCAAAAUAUCAUGAACUAGCCAGAGAACUGGACUUGGGAGUAAAGAUACACAUGUAUGUACUCACACCCUGGGAAUACUUUUCAGAAAGGGGUGGGUGCUCGCAAUGCACCCCCACACACAGUGUGAGCCUUGGUUACAACCACUCAACUCAUCCAGCCUCUUACUCCAUCCUGGGUCCCUCCCUCCCCGACAUUACAUGACCACCUGUACCCCAGUGUCACCAAACUGAGUAAUUAACACCUGCUCUUUUUGACAAACAAAAUUUCCUCUCCCUGCAGGACCCUCCAGACACCAAAGGGAAAAGCCUAGAGAAUUUCAUGUUAGCAGACGGGAAGCUUCAUUUCUUAUAAGCCCCAGGCACCUGGAAACAGGAGGACAUGCCUACAUUUGAGACUGUCCUGCUCUCUUACUGAUAUCCAGAGAGGCCCGUCACUUUCACUGGGUUCAGGUCCCCGCCCUUCUUUCCCUUGCCUGUGCCCUGAGCCCUGGAGGGAAAGCCCAGAUUGCUCAUAAGGUGGUGCCUCCAGAAAUUGCCCCAUCAUCCUUAUCAGACCUAUUUCACUGCCCGACCCAGACCUUUCCUUGUACAAUCACCCGAGAGGCUCAGCCAGAUGGUUGCAACGUGUGCAGGGGAAGAAAAAUGACUUACCCGAGAGCUGAUGGUGAGCUGAGAUUGAGCCACCCAUGGAAAGACAAAGCAGAACAUCUUCUUUCCCUAUCCGUUCAAAGCCCACCAACCUCAGCGUCCUUUGAGGCCCUGCCCUCUGUGAGCUCACAGUCUUCCAGGGGCCGAAUCCAAGUAGAAGGAGCUCUGCCAGCAAGCAGAAGGGUGAAAGAGGCUAAACUAUGUGAAACUGGGACAAGCCAGCUGCUUGUGACCUGGAAAGCCAGCAACUUCACAUGUUUCGACUACAGUAGCUGGAAACAAAAGGGAAUAUGAAGGAAGGAGCCAAGGAUUCAUCCCAGAGAACAAAGCAACCCUAUGGGAUUCAGAUGCAUUCUCUAUGAGGUAAGGAACUUGGUGGGCCACCGCAUCCACCCAGAGUCACUAAGAAGAGGGCAAUGAAACUGGGUUGGGGGUCUAACAGGACAGUCUUUGGGUCCCCCCACUAUACUUGGGCAAAUGAUCUUGAACCCAUUCUAUCA